This 835-nucleotide ribosomal RNA is filed under the name bacterium LGM64. Its description in RNAcentral is "bacterial SSU rRNA". It matches the Rfam family "Bacterial small subunit ribosomal RNA", at positions 57 to 874 of the family's 1533-position model. The record is from RNAcentral.
GCAGUCGAGCGAACAGAUAAGGAGCUUGCUCCUUUGACGUUAGCGGCGGACGGGUGAGUAACACGUGGAUAACCUACCUAUAAGACUGGGAUAACUUCGGGAAACCGGAGCUAAUACCGGAUAACAUAUUGAACCGCAUGGUUCAAUAGUGAAAGGCGGCUUUGCUGUCACUUAUAGAUGGAUCCGCGCCGUAUUAGCUAGUUGGUAAGGUAACGGCUUACCAAGGCAACGAUACGUAGCCGACCUGAGAGGGUGAUCGGCCACACUGGAACUGAGACACGGUCCAGACUCCUACGGGAGGCAGCAGUAGGGAAUCUUCCGCAAUGGGCGAAAGCCUGACGGAGCAACGCCGCGUGAGUGAUGAAGGUCUUCGGAUCGUAAAACUCUGUUAUCAGGGAAGAACAAAUGUGUAAGUAACUGUGCACAUCUUGACGGUACCUGAUCAGAAAGCCACGGCUAACUACGUGCCAGCAGCCGCGGUAAUACGUAGGUGGCAAGCGUUAUCCGGAAUUAUUGGGCGUAAAGCGCGCGUAGGCGGUUUUUUAAGUCUGAUGUGAAAGCCCACGGCUCAACCGUGGAGGGUCAUUGGAAACUGGAAAACUUGAGUGCAGAAGAGGAAAGUGGAAUUCCAUGUGUAGCGGUGAAAUGCGCAGAGAUAUGGAGGAACACCAGUGGCGAAGGCGACUUUCUGGUCUGUAACUGACGCUGAUGUGCGAAAGCGUGGGGAUCAAACAGGAUUAGAUACCCUGGUAGUCCACGCCGUAAACGAUGAGUGCUAAGUGUUAGGGGGUUUCCGCCCCUUAGUGCUGCAGCUAACGCAUUAAGCACUCCGCCU